RNAcentral lists this ribosomal RNA (469 nucleotides) under uncultured bacterium. RNAcentral describes it as "partial 16S ribosomal RNA". It matches the Rfam family "Bacterial small subunit ribosomal RNA", at positions 355 to 816 of the family's 1533-position model. The record is from RNAcentral.
UGGGGAAUUUUGGACAAUGGGGGCAACCUGAUCCAGCAAUGCCGCGUGUGUGAAGAAGGCCUUCGGGUUGUAAAGCACUUUUGUCCGGAAAGAAAACGUCGUGGUUAAUACCCGUGGCGGCUGACGGUACCGGAAGAAUAAGCACCGGCUAACUACGUGCCAGCAGCCGCGGUAAUACGUAGGGUGCAAGCGUUAAUCGGAAUUACUGGGCGUAAAGCGUGCGCAGGCGGUCCGCUAAGACAGAUGUGAAAUCCCCGGGCUUAACCUGGGAACUGCAUUUGUGACUGGCGGGCUAGAGUAUGGCAGAGGGGGGUAGAAUUCCACGUNUAGCAGUGAAAUGCGUAGAGAUGUGGAGGAAUACCGAUGGCGAGGCAGCCCCCUGGGCCAAUACUGACGCUCAUGCACGAAAGCGUGGGGGAGCAAACAGGAUUAGAUACCCUGGUAGUCCACGCCCUAAACCGAUGUCAAC